ACUAAUACAAUUAAGAGUCCUUAAAUUAAGGGAUUAAUAUUAAUGAGCUGACAUAACAAAUUACUUUCCAUCUUCCUUCGGUCUCUCUCUCUAUCUACCCCUUACUAUUUCUCUCUCUUCUCCCUUACUACUUCUCUCUCUCCUCUCGAAGCCACUCGUCGUCGUCCUCUUCCGCCGCCGUCGCCGCCGCAACACCAUAGUCUCUCAACUCUGACAGAAAAUUGAAUACGUGACUUUCAGGCUAAUACGUGAUUUUCUCUCUCCAACUCUCUCACAACUGAAAGGAUUCUGGUUUCUCUCUAAGGUAUGCUUCUAAUUUCUGUUAAUUCUC
Molecule: long non-coding RNA, 331 nt
Filed under: Panax ginseng (ginseng)
Lineage: Eukaryota; Viridiplantae; Streptophyta; Magnoliopsida; Apiales; Araliaceae
Description: long non-coding RNA (PGIN_LNC017054)
Source: RNAcentral